GUGAAUUUGUGUUUAUAAAGCUGCAGGAGGCAACACAGUGAGAAGAGCAGCCAACAGAGCUGGAAAGUGCUCAGCUGGCUUUCAGUCACUGUAUUCCCUGUGAUCCUUUUAGACAUUUUGUAGGAGAAACCCAACAUGAGAAUACUUUUAAUUCUUACUGCCAUAGCUGUGGUGUCAAGGGCCCAGACUGACUGCUCUGGAGGGGCUUGUUACCCACCUGUGGAGGACCUGCUCCUGGGCAGGGCCAACCAGCUCCAUGCGUCCUCCACCUGUGGCCUCAUGGGCUCUGAGAGCUACUGCACCCCUUAUGUACAGGCUCAGAUGAAGUGUUGUCCAUGUGACUCCCGGAGCCCAAAUGGUCCACUGGCCCACACUGUGCAGGACGCCCUGUCCACCUCAGGACCAGACAGAUGGUGGCAAUCCAAGAAAGGUGUAAGUCCAGUUACUCUCCAGCUGGACCUUGGCAGCCUGUUCCAGCUUGACAACCUGGUGCUCAGUUUCAAGGGUCCUCGUCCCAGUGCCUUUGUCAUAGAAAAAACGCUGGACAAUGGCCGAACAUGGCAGCCUGCUCUCUACUUGGCCACAGACUGCCCAAAAUCCUUUCCAGGCGUCUCCACAACAACACCUCUCUCCAUGGAUGAGACGUACUGCUCCACACUGCCCCCUGCUGGAGCAAACCCAUACCAAGAUCACACUAUCCAGUUCCGUCCUCUGCGUCAGUACAUUUAUGUCCCAGUUCCAGGCAGCCAAAAAAUUGAAGAUGUGUCUGGCUUGACAGGGUUGAGGGUGAGGCUGACAGAGCUCGGCGAUGUCCCGCAUCUCCCAGGCAGAGCGCUGAGCAGGUUCUACGCCCUGAAGGAGAUGAGGGUGAUGGGCAGCUGCAUGUGCCACGGACACGCCAAGCGCUGCCUGCCAGACACCAGCCAGGCUCAGUCCAACACCGUACAGGUGGGUCCUCUGUGUGACUGCCAGCACAACACCGCAGGUGUGAACUGUGAGUAUUGUGCUGAUCUCUACAACGAUCUUGCCUGGAGGCCUGCGGAGGAAGGAAACACUCGUGCCUGCAAACGAUGCGAGUGCAACAACCACGCCCACCGCUGUCACUUUGACCCGGCGGUGUUUGAGGCCAGUGGGCGGAGAAGCGGCGGUGUGUGUGAGAACUGUGUGCACCACACCACAGGAGCCCAGUGUGAGCAGUGUGCUGCAGGCUACCAGCCCAACCCGCGCAGCACAAUGGACCGGCCGGACGCCUGCAUACGCUGUAUGUGCAGCGCUGAGGGCACAGUGAACGGGGGCCAGUGUGAGGGCAGCUCAGGCUCAUGUCAGUGUAAGGCCAAUGUCGAAGGUCCCUACUGUGAGCGCUGCAAGAGAGGCUACUAUGGCCUGACGGCCUCCAACCCUCUGGGAUGCUCCAAGUGUUCCUGCUCAUCAGACACAUCACUGUCAGAUGCCUGUGAUCCUGUGACCGGCCAGUGUCUCUGCCGCCCCCAUUUCCACGGGCUCAGUUGUGAAGCAUGUUCAACAGGCUACUGGAAAGCGUUCCCAUCCGGAGGCUGUGUGUCCUGCAGCUGUGACCCCACCCGUUCAUACAGUGACGCCUGUGACCAGGUGACAGGUCAGUGCCAGUGCAGACCAGGCUUCGGGGGCCGAACAUGUACAGAGUGCCCACAAAACUCAUACGGGGACCCACGUGUCCGCUGCCGACCAUGUCAGUGUGACACUGAAGGAACUCUUCCAGAGGUGUGUGAUCCGCAGACGGGCGCCUGCCUGUGUAAGGCCGGAGUCACAGGAGCUCGCUGCGAUGCCUGCGGACGAGGACGCUGUGACUCCUUCCCUGCCUGCGAGACGUGUCCCUCCUGCUUCUUCACUCUGGACGCACAGAGGCAGAAGCUCAGCUUUGCUCUGGAGAAGCUGUCGCCUGCCUUCCCCUUUCCUCCCGCGGGAGGUGUUGAGGCAGACGGGCUGCGGCCGCGCGUCUUGGCCCUGGAGGCCAAGCUGAGCCUGAUCCGGGACUCUGUGCCGCUGUCCCCUAGUUCUGCCAAACAGGUUGCUGGUGCCCUGUCCCUGUUGGACGAGCUCAGGAACCAAAUGGGGAAAGUUAAUGAUGAUCUGACGCCCCUGAGGAAAGCUCCCAGUCAGGAAUCAGAGCUGAACAAACUACAGGAUCUGCUGGACAGCCUCACGGAGGUGUACAACGCCAAGAAAGACGCCAGUGCAACGUCACGCGAUCCUAACAUCGCAGGAGCCUUUUCUGCCAUCAAGAACGCCUACGAUGACUCCACAGAUGCAGCGAAGAAGGUAAAUGCCAGCAGAGACACUGUGAAGGAGUCGGCUGGUGUCAGAAACGAAACCAUGGACCUUCAGAAGCAGAUACAGCCAGCAAACACUAGAGACCUGGACAAGCUGAACCGAAGCAUGGCCUCCACACCAGACCUCACUCCUGCUGCCAAACAGGUAUGUGGCAGUGAGCGGUCAGAGCCGUGCACCCCUCUCCAUUGUGAAGGUGGGUCUUUGUGUCCACCGACAGGAGCCCCACUUUGUGAAAAAGGGCCAGAGUGUUUGGGCGCUCUGCCGCUGAGCAAGAGGGCCUACGCUGAUGCUCAGGACGUGAAGGAGCGUCUGGACAAACUCAGUGUGAACAUAACGAAGGCUGCAGAAAAGCUACAGGAAACACAGGAGACAACCAAUCAGGUGAGAGAAGCUGCAGAAGAGCUGUUCAAUAAGAUGAAGGUGUCCAGAGAUGAACUAGAGGAUGGCUUGAAAGACCUGCGUGAUGUUGUGAAAGAGUUAAAAAAUUUCCUGUCAGACCCAUCUUCAAACCUGACACAGAUCCAGGACUUGAGUGAGUGGAUCUUGAAAGCCCAGCUGCCUCUCAGCCUGGCUCCUCUGAAGACAAAGCUGGAUGAGCUGAAGAAGCUGGCAGCCAGUCUCCCAGACAGCACAGCUGUGCUGAAGGAGGCCGAGCCACAGCUGGACAAGGCCAGGAACCUGCUGCAGGAUGCCAAGGAUGCCAGGGACACAGCAGUAGGGGUAAAGGCUGAUGUCGAUGGAUUGCUACAUACCUUUGGGCCAGUAGAGGAGUCCAUCUCUGCCAUAGAGGACAAACUACAGGACUUUACUGAUGUCAUAAAGAACCUUAGUGACAGCUUAACUAAGGUCAAAGACCAGGUGACCCCAGCAGAGAAAGCUCUAAAUGACGUGUCAGAGCUGAUAAACCCAAUGAAACCUCAACUGGACGAGCUCAAAGAUCUGCUGCAGAAUGGAAGCCAGCUGGCGCAAGAUGCUCAGGACAACGCAGACAAAGCGAAGGAGGAAGCGGAGGCUGGCAACAAGGACCUGUUGACUUUGGGGGAGAAGCUGAACCUUCUUAAGGACCAGGCUCCUCCCAGCGGGUCUGGUGGAGACGUACCGGUUGGGGAACGCCUGAUGAAACUGCAGCAGGCUGCUGGAGCCUUGGCCAACAGCACCGAAACCAUGAUGGAGGCCAUGGAAGGUAAAGCAGAUAUCCUGAGGGGGCUUCAGGAGGAGAUCCUUCAAAAGUCAACACGGCUUGAAGGACUUGACACAAAGCUUAAAGACCUUUUAGCACAACUUCGGAAGAAAGCCAACGACCUCAGCAGCUGCCAGGGCUGAAACGCAGCAAACUGCCUGCACGACGCCUGUCACUGCAACCAGCACUUCACACUAGUCGCGUUCCACUUCCAGAAGCCAGCUCUGAUGUACUAGAGAAGAGGUCCUCUAUUAAUUCAAGAGCAGUAACACUCUUUAAAAGUUUUAUAUCACUUUUUUUUGUUUUUGUAGUUUUGUUACCUGCCGCACUUCAUUGUGAACAAUACAUAAUUACAAUAUUUGAUAUUUCGGAGCUGAACAAAGGAUGAAUGUUAUUGAACAUUAUUUAUUUUCCACUUUGCAUUUGUCGUUUGUUCAAAAUCCACAUAAUCCACAUAAAUGCUAUAAUGCAACAACAUAUAAAUGACUCUAGGUGACUAGUAGCCACAUAUUUAUAUAAAAAUAAAUAAAUAAAAAAAAAAUCA
This 4034-nucleotide long non-coding RNA is filed under the name Betta splendens (Siamese fighting fish). RNAcentral's name for it is "lncRNA (ENSBSLG00000017844.1)". Lineage: Eukaryota; Metazoa; Chordata; Actinopteri; Anabantiformes; Osphronemidae. The record is from RNAcentral.